Molecule: long non-coding RNA, 228 nt
Filed under: Elaeis guineensis (African oil palm)
Lineage: Eukaryota; Viridiplantae; Streptophyta; Magnoliopsida; Arecales; Arecaceae
Description: long non-coding RNA (EGUI_LNC014043)
Source: RNAcentral
UCAUUCACAAGAAACAUUCACAAGAAGACACAAAUUGCACAGCAAGAUAAAGUGAAGUAGAUAUUCAUUAAUUAUUUGUAUUGUUUACAAAAAAAUGCUAUCCAAACAAUACAACAUGUAUUACAAAAGAUGCCAACCAAAAUAUGAAGCUAGGUUUAACGAUAAUCCAAGGUAACUACUCUGAUCUUCAUCUAGCACUUCCUUAAUAAUGAGGUCAGGAGGAUAAGA